UCUUUUUGAUUUUUUCCCCUUUUUUUUAAAAUUUUUUUUGGUUCUGGUUAACUUUUUCAUCUUCUUCACGCAUUUAUUGUGUUUCAAUUCACAUUAUCAUCGUCAAGUUCGGUUACGUAUGUAGAUACUUUUCGUAUUCUGAAGGAGAUAUGGAAACAAUGGGUAUUAAUGUUCUUGAUUUGAAAAUUUACUCUCUGCAUUAUUGUUUUGUAUUGAAAUACUCUACAAAUUCUGAUUUUAUUUGCUUCUGCAGAAAGUGGGCGUUUGGGUAUCCUCAUUUGCAUCAGAACGCCCAAAUUGUGUCAAAACAUUGAGUCUUGUUUUCUUCGAUUAUCUGUGUACAUUAUUUGAGCAGAGCUGAUUGAAUGAGGAAGUCAAUUAAGUUUUAAUAAUGCACAGGAGGAAUAGCAGUUGAAUGGAGCUUUUUAUGUUGGUUUGUAAAACUGGAGUUAUGGCUGCCUGCUUUUGUAAAAAUUAGUGUGGAUGGUAUGAUGAAUUGGAGCUUAGGCUUUAGUGGAGGCUGUGAUUUUCAUUUUCUGAAAUGGGGAUCACAAAGGAUGAGGUAAGAGCCUAAAAAUGGAUUCAAAAGAGGAUGGGGAGGGACAUGAGGACCGGCCAACAUCACCGUAUGGGGUGCUGCAUCAUUUGUCCGAGGAGGCAGUUGAAGUGGCUGGUGAAGCAGUGCACAGUGUGCACUUAGGUAACCCUAACUCCCAGUCAGGGCCAGGACACAGGCGAAGUCAAAGCGAAGUUACGCCUGUGGUGCACAGACGUACCAGCAGUUUUCAGAGGUUGAAGAGUCAGGUACAGAAGGCAUGGCGAUGGGGUGCCAAUUCAAGGGAGCGUGAUUACAACCCAAACUUCAACCCUGAGGUCUUGGGUAACCAAAAACGCCAGUGGUAUCAGCUUCACUCCAAAACUCUGGAACAUGUACAGUAUAAGGACCCCACAUCACUUUUUGAGCACUUCAUCAUUGUGGGUCUUCAUCCAGAUGCAAAUCUUGAAGUUGUGGAGAACGCAUUUGCAAAAAGGAAAAAAUGGGAGUUGGAUAUGAAAAAAUCUGGAUUAAUAGAAAUGCUAGAUUAUCGAGGUCCUUCUUUUCCAACAUUGGAGCCUCAGACACUUUUUAAAUAUCCUCCUGGGAAGAGAUUAGCAAUGCGCCUGAAGGAUCUGUCUGCCUUCUGUUUCCCUGGAGGUGUUAAGGCACGGUUGCUGGAGAGGACUCCGUCACUAAGUGAUCUCAACGAACUAGUUUAUGGACAGGAGCAUUUAGGGAGAGAUGAUCUGUCAUUUGUAUUUUCACUUAAGGCGGUGGACAAUGCUACACUUUAUGGGGUUUGCUUACAUGUCACAGAAAUGGUUCAGAAGCCUCCUGGCAUCUUAGCUACCUCAUCACCCCUUUCUCAAUCAUCAGGAAGGUGCUGCCGUUAUUUAGUUUCUGCGCCUCGCUGCUACUGUGUGCUAACCAGGGUUCCUUUCUUUGAGUUGCAUUACGAGAUGUUGAACAGUAUCAUUGCACAGGAGCGUUUAAAUAGGAUAACACAGUUUGUCACGGAAAUGUCUCUCACCAGUUAUGUCCCUUCAGCAGCCAAACUUCAUUGUCAAAUGAAUGGGUAUGUUGAGUCUCCUCGUACGGACUGCAGUGCUGAUUUGAUGGCUUCUGCAAUACCUGUUGACAGUGCAGUGGCUCUUGCAGCUGCUGCCACUGGAAUCAUAUCAGAUGAUGAAAUCCAAUCCUCUUCAUUAAAGAUGUCGGACCCACCAUCUCCUGAAAGUGUCACUGCCAGUGAAUCUUCAGAUCUUCGUCAAGCAAGGGAAGUAGACAAAGAUGGAAGGAGGAACUCACAGUAUUUUGAUGAAUGUGCCUCUGAGGUGUCGGAAACUCGUUUUGAUGCUCUAGAAAGAAUGUACAGCAGUGGGGAAGUUGGCCAGGUUUCUCCAGUGAUAGGUUCCUUUUGGUGCUUUAGGAGCCGCACAAUGGAGGGUGUUGGGAGUUCUGAGUGCCUUUUCAGUCCAGUCAGAAGCAUGGCAUCAGAAGACGAGGAUGACAUACUUUUCUUGAACUCUGAAAAGGAUUUUGGUGAUGAAUUAAUAAUGGAAUGGGCAAGGGAAAACAAAAACGAUCUACUACAGAUAGUCUGCAGCUAUCACGCUCUGCCUAUUCCUGCCAGAGGAAGUGAAAUAGUGUUUCGGCCUCUCGAACAUUUACAGGCAGUUGAAUAUAGACGACCUUCAGUUGAAGCCUUUGGCAUUCCUGGAAAAUAUCUAGAUUCAAUAGAAGCCGCUGAGGUCAAUGCAAAGUUGGCUGCUGCCGAGGAAGCACUUGCUUUGUCAAUUUGGACAACCGCAACUAUGUGCCGAGUUCUGUCACUUGAAAGUGUUUUGCACUACUGGCUGGGGUGUUACUAGAAAAACAAGUUGUAGUGGUCUGCCCUAACCUGGGUUUCCUAUCAGCUACAGUCUUAUCUGUUGUUUCCAUGAUUCGUCCUUUUCAAUGGCAGAGUAUAUUGCUUCCAAGAUAGCAAUCGGAUUCCCAGCCAAAUUGUGAAGGAGUAGGGCAAGGGGCUGUUAUUUUGGUUAAACAACUCUCAUGCGCAAGGCUCCAUUGGUAUGUGAGAUUCUACCUGGAAGGAUGCUUGACUUUCUAGAUGCACCAGUUCCCUUUAUAGUUGGUAUUAACAUAAACCUGCUGAUUUGAAGAUUAAAACAUCUAAUCUUGUUCUUGUUAAUGUGCUGAAAGACCAGGUGAAAAUGUGUCAUUUGCCCACACUCCCUCGACAUAGAGAGCUUGUUGCUGAACUUGGGUCAAUUCACGCCAGGCUCUCAUUUGAAAAUUCUUCUGCUAAAAGGCAUCCGGUAUAUAGGUGUAGUGAAGGGCAGGUGUGUAUCAAUUCCCACAUACAAGAAGGCAAUGAAUUGAACUAGGUGCCAUUAAGAAGAUGAACUCUUCUAAAAUUUUUAGUAACUGCCUAGACUGUAGGAAUUUCCACUGGUAAUGAAUUUGAAGUUGACUAAUGUUAUGUUGUGCAAGGCCUACCGCAUCAUGAGAUUUAACUUGUCUCGGUAACUUUAGCUUUAAUAAUUCUUCCUGGGGAGCGAUCAGACUGUCUGGGUGUUCCUAUCUUGGAGUCUUCUUCUUUCAAGUACCACCUUUCUUCAACUUCUUUGUUCUUUUCUUCACUAAAGUAAAAAAGAAAGAAAAUUUUGUUAUUCAUCAAAAUUUAAGAAUCUAAGAUCUGAAUAUGAUGCAUCCCUUGGUCCCUUUUCUUUGUUUCUCCUGUUGUACUUGCUUUUUUUUGGCACCUUCUCAGUUCUUCCAUAAAUGUCUUCUUAUUCAACAAUGAUACAAGGGCCAUUUGAUGGCAUUCAUGAAGCGUUCUGGAAGAAAUCCUGUUUUUCUUAACUGCUAUAUGCUUUGUAUAACUUCUUGGCAUUAAACCAGUAAGAAGUCAACUGUCACAUCUCCGCAGUAAUAUAUUCCUGCAAAAUUAACCCCCUUUGUAUACCUUCUUGGCAUUAAACCAGUAGAAUAAUAUAUUCCUGCAAAAUCCGUUCUAUCAGAUUCUUGCAUCAAGCAAAAAUGCAGAGAUGCAAAUGGCAGUCUACUGGGUAUUGGCUCUACUGCUUAGGACAGUGAUCUGCAGAAUUUGUCAAAUCACAAAACUUUUGGAGCCUUUUAUUUUAAGGAGUGCAACAAUUGUGAAAGUAAUGGUUACAAGUGUCUUACACCAAUUAAUUUUAUAUAUCUGUUGUAUUGCUUGUAACAAUGGACCAUCAUCCCUAUAUUUCAAUGGGAUAUGGCAUCUGAUGUUUGGGUUCUAUUAGCCCCAAGUUCUUGUAUAUGUGUGAGUUUAAUAAAAGCUUAGUUUAACAAA
This is an RNA transcript of Tripterygium wilfordii, 3875 nucleotides long. RefSeq lists it as uncharacterized. NCBI's taxonomy places the organism in Eukaryota, Viridiplantae, Streptophyta, Magnoliopsida, Celastrales, Celastraceae. The transcript is spliced from 16 exons. The record is from RefSeq and is a predicted model, not a curated record.